Molecule: ribosomal RNA, 138 nt
Filed under: uncultured eukaryote
Lineage: Eukaryota
Description: partial 18S ribosomal RNA
Rfam family: Eukaryotic small subunit ribosomal RNA
Source: RNAcentral
UGGUGGAGCGAUUUGUCUGGUUAAUUCCGAUAACGAACGAGACUCUGGCCUAUUAAAUAGUUCGCCGAUUCCGAUCUGUCGGCGUUAACUUCUUAGAGGGACAAGUGGCUUUUAGCCACGCGAGAUUGAGCAAUAACA